UUAGCUAUACCGAUAACACUUACGAGUCAAAGCAGUAAUGCGCUUGGAGAGGAGGUCGCGGCAGAUUAGCUAGUUGGGGGGUAUGGCCCACCAAGGCGAUGAUCUGUAUCCGGCCUGAGAGGGCGCACGGACACACUGGAACUGAAACACGGUCCAGACUCCUACGGGAGGCAGCAGUGGGGAAUUUUGCGCAAUGGGGGAAACCCUGAACGCAGCAACGCCGGUGGAGGAUGAAGUCUCCUUGGGACGUAAACUCCUUUCGAUAGGGACGAUCAUUGAUGGUACCUAUAGAAGAAAGCCCCGGGCUAACUUUCGUGCCCAAGCAGCCGCGGUAAUACGAGGGGGGCAAGCGUUGUUCGGAAUUAUUGGCCGUAAAGGGCGCGUAGGCGGUUUGGCAAGUUGGGUGUGAAAUCUUCGGGCUCCAACUCGAAGUCUGACCGAAAACUGCCGGGGCUU
RNAcentral lists this ribosomal RNA (456 nucleotides) under uncultured bacterium. RNAcentral describes it as "bacterial SSU rRNA". It matches the Rfam family "Bacterial small subunit ribosomal RNA", at positions 160 to 643 of the family's 1533-position model. The record is from RNAcentral.